UACGGAAGAUCCGAGCGUUAUCCGGAUUUAUUGGGUUUAAAGGGCGCGCAGGCGGAAGAUUAAGUCGGUGGUGAAAUUUUGCAGCUCAACUGUAAAAGUGCCAUUGAUACUGGUUUUCUUGAGUGUGGAUGAAGUAGGCGGAAUUUGUGGUGUAGCGGUGAAAUGCAUAGAUAUCACGAGGAACUCCGAUUGCGCAGGCAGCUUACUAGGCCAUAACUGACGCUCAGGCACGAAGGCGUGGGGAUCAAACAGGAUUAGA
RNAcentral lists this ribosomal RNA (259 nucleotides) under uncultured prokaryote. Its description in RNAcentral is "partial 16S ribosomal RNA". It matches the Rfam family "Bacterial small subunit ribosomal RNA", at positions 524 to 782 of the family's 1533-position model. The record is from RNAcentral.